RNAcentral lists this ribosomal RNA (771 nucleotides) under uncultured Planctomycetota bacterium. RNAcentral describes it as "bacterial SSU rRNA". It matches the Rfam family "Bacterial small subunit ribosomal RNA", at positions 577 to 1339 of the family's 1533-position model. Lineage: Bacteria; Pseudomonadati; Planctomycetota. The record is from RNAcentral.
GGUUCGGUACGUUCGGUGUGAAAUCUCCCGGCUCAACUGGGAGGGUGCGCCGAAUACUGCCGGGCUAGAGUGCGGGAGAGGAGAGCGGAAUUCCUGGUGUAGCGGUGAAAUGCGUAGAUAUCAAGAGGAACGCCGGCGGUGAAGACGGUGCACUGGGCUUGUCCUGACGCUGAGACACGAAAGCGUGGGUAGCGAACGGGAUUAGAUACCCCGGUAGUCCACGCCGUAAACGAUGCCUACUAGGUUGUGGAAGUUCUGACGCUUUCACAGCCGAAGCAAAAGUGCUAAGUAGGCCGCCUGGGGAGUACGGCCGCAAGGCUAAAACUCAAAGGAAUUGACGGGGGCUCACACAAGCGGUGGAGCAUGCGGAUCAAUUCGAAGCAACGCGAAGAACCUUACUUGGGUUUGACAUGCUUGGAUGCCCUGCUGGAAACAGCGUGGGCUGCCCUUCGGGGUGAAACUUGCACAGGUGCUGCAUGGCUGUCGUCAGUUCGUGUCGUGAGAUGUCGGGUUAAGUCCCUUAACGAGCGAAACCCUUGCCGUUAGUUGCCAGCGGGUCAUGCCGGGGACUCUAACGGGACUGCCGGUGUAAAACCGGAGGAAGGUGGGGACGACGUCAAGUCAUCAUGGCCUUUAUGCCCAGGGCAUCACACGUGCUACAAUGGCGACUACAAAUCGACGCAAGGCCGCGAGGCGGAGCAAAUCGCAAAAAGGUCGCCCCAGUACGGAUUGUAGGCUGCAAUUCGCCUGCAUGAAGUCGGAAUCGCUAGU